Molecule: long non-coding RNA, 231 nt
Filed under: Medicago truncatula (barrel medic)
Lineage: Eukaryota; Viridiplantae; Streptophyta; Magnoliopsida; Fabales; Fabaceae
Description: long non-coding RNA (MTRU_LNC006886)
Source: RNAcentral
UGCUUGUUCUUUGUCCAUAUCCAUACUUUCUUUGAUUUUUUAUUACCACUAUCCUCCAAUGGUGUCCAAGAAGAAGAAGACAUUGAAGAAGAACAAGGUUUGUGGUGCAAACGUGUGUAGGAAGUANAAGGUGGUGGAGUGAAUUGUGCAAAUCCAAUUUGCGACAGUAAAGACAUCUUAGUCAGAGGUGUCUGUACUCAACACCAACAAACAACGUUAGUUCAUCACUUC